Molecule: ribosomal RNA, 301 nt
Filed under: uncultured bacterium
Lineage: Bacteria
Description: partial 16S ribosomal RNA
Rfam family: Bacterial small subunit ribosomal RNA
Source: RNAcentral
CAGCCGGCCACGGUAAUACAGAGGGUGCGAGCGUUAAUCGGAUUUACUGGGCGUAAAGCGUGCGUAGGCGGCUUUUUAAGUCGGAUGUGAAAUCCCUGAGCUUAACUUAGGAAUUGCAUUCGAUACUGGGAAGCUAGAGUAUGGGAGAGGAUGGUAGAAUUCCAGGUGUAGCGGUGAAAUGCGUAGAGAUCUGGAGGAAUACCGAUGGCGAAGGCAGCCAUCUGGCCUAAUACUGACGCUGAGGUACGAAAGCAUGGGGAGCAAACAGGAUUAGAUACCCCUGUAGUCCCUGUCUCUUAUA